Molecule: unclassified non-coding RNA, 500 nt
Filed under: Drosophila ananassae
Lineage: Eukaryota; Metazoa; Arthropoda; Insecta; Diptera; Drosophilidae
Description: GF27858
Source: RNAcentral
UAAUUCUAACUAAAUGUUUUAUUCAUUAAACGACAAAAUACAAAUGUCUUAAGUUCUAGGUCUUGGUUCUCCGGACACCGCACACUACUUUUUACACAUUGUACAAGGGGGCUUUUGGAUGGCAACGUGGUUAAACCAUGGAUCGUGUUGAGGAACGCCAGCUGGCCCACAACAGGUGGAUCAUGGACUGCAGGCUGGAACAUGUAAGCGCAGUAAACAGCCCAUUUUCACUUCGCACUCGCUACUUAGGAUCUACCUGGCCCAAUUACCUGCCUGCUGGCGACCUGGCGCGCCUAUAGUGGGUGUCAAACUAUGGCCAAUGACAUACAGAGGCGCCUGCAUUCGAGGCAUUCAACAAGGAAUUACAAUAACAAUAAACAGAAGUGCCCCGAAUAUACGGAUAUCGAGCGGGGCAAGUGCCAUAAAGAGUGCCACAAAGAGGGAAAUUCAAUGAACAAAUAUAACAAUCAGCCUUGUUCUUAAUUUUGAAAUUAAUUGCA